This 335-nucleotide long non-coding RNA is filed under the name Ananas comosus (pineapple). RNAcentral describes it as "long non-coding RNA (ACOM_LNC020033)". The record is from RNAcentral. Lineage: Eukaryota; Viridiplantae; Streptophyta; Magnoliopsida; Poales; Bromeliaceae.
ACGGGCAAGGGCAAGGGCAAGGGUGAGGGUGAGGGCGAAGGCGAGGCGGCAAAGGAGGGCGAGAGAGUGUUUGUCGGCAUGGACGAAGAUGUGGGCGAGGGCGAGGCAGCAGAGGUGGACGAGGCAACAUGAGAGAAGACGGUGGGGUAUUUUUGGCAUAAAAAAUAUAUAAUAAUAUUUUAUAAACGUAACCCCAAUGGAUCACUAGCAGCAGGGAGUGAAAUGAACAUUUUUUAUUUUAUAAGGUGGCAAAGUGUAAGUUUCUAAAUGACAGGAAGGAAAGUGAGAAAUCGUGUUUUGACAGGAAAUUUUUCUAUAAUUUAGUCUUUUAUAUU